RNAcentral lists this ribosomal RNA (492 nucleotides) under uncultured bacterium. RNAcentral describes it as "partial 16S ribosomal RNA". It matches the Rfam family "Bacterial small subunit ribosomal RNA", at positions 30 to 507 of the family's 1533-position model. The record is from RNAcentral.
AGUGAACGCUGGCGGUAGGCCUAACACAUGCAAGUCGAACGGCAGCACAGUAAGAGCUUGCUCUUACGGGUGGCGAGUGGCGGACGGGUGCGGAAUACAUCGGAAUCUACUUUUUCGUGGGGGAUAACGUAGGGAAACUUACGCUAAUACCGCAUACGACCUACGGGUGUAAGCAGGGGAUCUUCGGACCUUGCGCGAUUGAAUGAGCCGAUGUCGGAUUAGCUAGUUGGCGGGGUAAAGGCCCACCAAGGCGACGCUCCGUAGCUGGUCUGAGAGGGUGGUCCCCCAGCUGGGAAGUGAGGAACGGCCCAGACUCCUACGGGAGGAAGCAGUGGGGAAUAUUAGGCAAUGGAGGAAAGGGGGAUCCAACCAUACGGGGGGGAUGAAGAAGGCGUUCGGGUUGGAAAGCCCUGUUGUUGGGAGAGAAGAAAAGCAGGUUAAUCCGCGGCUAUACUGACGGUACCAGAAGAAGAAGCACCGGCUAACUUCGUG